Cygnus olor (mute swan) is the source of this 3334-nucleotide long non-coding RNA. RefSeq lists it as uncharacterized. NCBI's taxonomy places the organism in Eukaryota, Metazoa, Chordata, Aves, Anseriformes, Anatidae. The record is from RefSeq and is a predicted model, not a curated record. The transcript has 9 exons.
GUUAUUAUAACCUCUGUAACCGGUAGAGGGAUAUAUUUGAAGAAAAAGGGGUUGUUUCUCCUCCCACACGCACUGAAGUAAAUCAGGAGCAAUUCUCCUGCAGUCAAUGGGAGAGUAUCUGUGAAACUGACACAAAACAAGAAAAAACAAAGCCAGAAACGUACAAGCAAAGCUUUCCUAGCACUACGGGCACAAAUUGAACGUCUCCUCUGCCUUUUGGUGAGGCUGAACCAUUCAUGCACCUAUCCCACACUUAGCUCCAUCCCGUGAAAGCGAAUCUCAACAGGGUCCAGACUCGCACUGAACACAAUGGAGGUACAUACACCAGCUCGAGCAGGCGGAGAGCCUGGCAUAAAGCCCCGAGAAUGAAUGAGGAUUGUCAAGUGAAGUAAUCAUACGCGUUGGAUUUAAGCACGUUGCCCCUGAAACACUGGGCGUUUCUGAGUGCUGUAACAGAAAACUAGGAAGAUUAGAAAAGGAUUUAGGGGGAAAAAAAUAAAAGUGGUAGAUGCAACCCACUAUUUUCUUUACAGACACAAGGACCAGCACUCGUCCUAGGGAAAGAUCAUGUGGCAAAACGAUGACUCUGAGUCACUAGAAAAGAGAAAAUCUUUUAAAAUACUCUUGGGACCAGGGACGAACUGUUAAGCGAAGAGCACUAUUUUAUCAUUCAGCUAACGAGCCCGAGGAAGGAUGAUCACCGCUCGGUGCCGUUUCGCCUUGACAACUCUUUCUCCCUGAAACAAAUACGCCAACUUCGGCAUUAAGGCAUUUACCAGAAAAUGCUUUCCUACAGCCCGUUAGUAGCUGCUGUACCGUGAUACACGAGCUUCUGCCAAAGAACGCUGAAGUCUGCCCAGAGAAACAAAAACUGUCUUCUGUAAGGCAUUUAUACAAGGGGGAGCACUCUUCUGGGAAGCAGGUACAUCUUUACCUUUCCUUUUCACAAGAAAGCAGAUAGCUACUACACUAGUACUGGAAGGUGAUGUUAACUCAUGCCUUUGUUAUGACAGAGCUGCCUGAAGACCUGGGUCAAUAAAUGAUUCAUUUUGAACCAUUCAGUGUAAAUAAACAUUGCAACAAUCCUCAGUUUUGGCAUGGAGAACUUGAGUGGAGGUACAGUAACAAAGCUUACUGUAAAAACACACAACCAUUGAAAGAUGGCUAUUUACACAAAGGAUAAAGGAUAUUUACACAAUAAAUGAAGUUUUUUCUACCCUCAGAGUGUUUUCUUGGUUACAAAAAGUGUGAAAGGUUGCCUUUCGGAUAAAGCCUGUGAACAGCAUCCAUUCAGGCCAUGAAUUUUGGUUCAGGGACUGUAAACUGAAUUUUUAACCCUCUGGAGCCAGUUGUAUCCCUUAAAAGAAUGCCUAAGGAUCUAGGUCUACAUCUAAUGCAAACUACACUAACUCUGUUAAUUUCAGGAGCUGCAGGAGAGGAGGAGGGUGAGAAGCACUCUCCAUUGAAGGCUAUUAAACAACUAACUUAAAAGACAUUCUUGUCAAGAUCUCUACCACUUACAAUGUGGGAAACAGGCUCCUAACCUUGGUUCUCUAAAUUUGAUGCUUGUAAUAACCUGAAGUCUACAACAUAAAUAUUGUCCAAACAUUCAAAGCGAACCUCUUUUUUGGACUCACCAUUAGUCUGAGAGCAGCAGGAGUUCAGAAUUUAUGACUACAUGCUAAUGAUUCACACAUAGUGAGCAGGAACAUGGAACUUAACAAUAUCAUAAUGAAACUGCAGUGAACUUCUGGAUAUGAAUGUGACCUACCUGUGGUUCAUUCUUCAUUCCUCUGAAGGGUUUUGUUAGCCCCAAGGAACAGAAAGGUGCAUCUCUUGGAGCCAAGAAAAGGGAGGAGUCCUUGCAUGUUGUCCCUGAUGUUGAGAGAAGGAUAUUUCUUGCACCUGGCAGCAACUAAACGCUCUGACCUGGAGAUCACGAGGAUGCAGCACGUCACCAAUCUGAAGAGCUGAGCAGCAGUCUUUACACUUGAAAAUCAUAUUAUUGAACUCACAUUCUGUCAAAAGGGUUUACAAGAGGUGUGUUCUGUAUUUUGCUCAUACUGCUGGUGAUGCUGAGUUCAUGAAAUACACAGAAAGUUCAAGGUGCUCUUGCAGAAAUCAACAUGCUGCAGGGAACAAUGAAACUGAAAAACUCCUCUUUAUCCCCUCUUCCAGGCUUAGAACCAACUUCUAUACUAAAAAAGAAGAAAUGUGCAGUUCUCUUUGCUCAUACAAAUUUUGGUCAUAUCUGUGCACACAAGAAGACUUGGAAAAUAUUCCAAACUUUUAACUCUUGAUUUCCUGAAAUCUGUAUUUGCAGAAAAACAAACGAACAAACAAACAAACAAACCAUUUUUUAAGGCUAUGGACCCAUAUUUCUCCAGAAAUUCUUUAUAUUUAAAAUUUACUAGUGGCUUUAUGUAGUAUUCUUUUUACAUGUUUCUAUUCCUUCAGCUUUCCUACUCAUCUGUCAGAAACAAUUAAAUCACCGGAUUUUUCAUUGUUUGAAAUAACUGGUUGCAUUACCAUCUGGAAACAAUACAUUUUAAGUGCGUAAUCACGGGUGUUUGAAAUCCCAGGAACCCAACUUUAUAUGCACAGGACUAGGAGGCAGCAUGCUCAAAAAUGUAUUGUCAGCUGCGUGAUAUACAGCUAGGAGGAAACGAAGAAUGAUUCCCAGCCUCUUCUCUACUGUCUUCUCUCCGCAGGCCUCGGAGAGCUAAGGUCAGGUUUGCCUGCAGAGCAAAUGAGAACAUUUUAGAUUGCUCUUAUUUGUGUCGAGUUUUAAUGAUUGCAGCGGGCCAAGGGACACCAGCUGAGCUGUGGCCUGUCAACUCCUCAUCCUUCUUAGAGUUCAAUUCCAGUAUGAGGCUGGACAAUCAACUUUGUGAUCGUUUCCAGGAAGCGUAAAGAAACGAAGCACAUUACCUGGUAGGACUGCUGAGGAUAGCCGUUCACUGCAUAUAAGCUCACAGUGGAAAAUGCUUUGAGACUCUGAAACAGAAGCUGAAUUUCUACAAAACCACAACUCAAAGAUAUAACAGUCAACUGGUCCUUAUUUAUACACAAGGGGAGAGGGAAAAUUCACAGCCUUAGGCGCUUCUCAAGAUAGCAGCUGUCUCCAUGCCAUCUAACUGCCAAAGCUUUUCACCUGACUGAUCUGAUAGCACGGUGGACUGCUGUUCAAACUAAUAACCAACUCUUUGAGAACCCUCUCCUAGCAGACAGUGUGCUGUGUUUGUGGUCUCUGUAGGAGACUGUAGUCAGGUAAGAACCAUGGGAAGAAAAGAACCCCAGGAAGUGGAUUGGAUACUCUACAAAGUGGUUGAUG